Molecule: long non-coding RNA, 264 nt
Filed under: Carica papaya (papaya)
Lineage: Eukaryota; Viridiplantae; Streptophyta; Magnoliopsida; Brassicales; Caricaceae
Description: long non-coding RNA (CPAP_LNC010793)
Source: RNAcentral
AGGAUCUACGACCGCGAUCAUACCAACCAUAGUGGCCCUAUCAGAUAUCUACAGUCACGAUAGUACUUAGCCAAGGGUGACCCCUAACAGAUAUUUGUAUUACCACUCUUGUAAAAAGCCUAACGAGGCACUUGAUGCAAUAUGCAUGUCAAUAUAAAUAUACUUCGGACCAUUCAUGCUUUAUUCCACUUUUCUUUUUUCUUUUUCUUUUUAUUCUUUAUUUUUAUCCGACAAUAAUACUUACUACACAUUAUAUUUAUUACA